GAUGAAGAACGCAGCGAAUUGCGAUAAGUAAUGUGAAUUGCAGAUUUUCAGUGAAUCAUCGAAUCUUUGAACGCACCUUGCGCCCUUUGGCUAUUCCGAAGGGCAUGCCUGUUUGAGUAUCAUGAACACCUCAACUCUCAUGGUUUGCCAUGAUGAGCUUGGACUCUGGGGGUCUUGCUGGCCUAUGGUCAGCUCCUCUCAAAUAAAUCAGCUUGCCAGUGUUUGGUGGCAUCACAGGUGUGAUAACUAUCUACGCUUGUGGUUUUCCAUCAGGUAACCUUCAGUGAUGGAGGUUCGCUGGAGCUCAUAAAUGUCCCUCCUCAGCGAGGACAGCUUUUUGAACAUUUGAUCUCAAAUCAGGUAGGACUACCCGCUGAACUUAAGCAUAUCAAUAAGCGGAGGA
RNAcentral lists this unclassified non-coding RNA (403 nucleotides) under soil metagenome. Its description in RNAcentral is "partial contains 5.8S ribosomal RNA, internal transcribed spacer 2, and large subunit ribosomal RNA". The stretch from base 1 to 122 matches the Rfam family "5.8S ribosomal RNA", at positions 35 to 154 of the family's 154-position model. The record is from RNAcentral.